Molecule: ribosomal RNA, 560 nt
Filed under: Aureobasidium pullulans
Lineage: Eukaryota; Fungi; Ascomycota; Dothideomycetes; Dothideales; Saccotheciaceae
Also listed under: 1 other name
Description: eukaryotic LSU rRNA
Rfam family: Eukaryotic large subunit ribosomal RNA
Source: RNAcentral
GGCGAGUGAGCGGCAACAGCUCAAAUUUGAAAGCUAGCCUUCGGGUUCGCAUUGUAAUUUGUAGAGGAUGAUUUGGGGAAGCCGCCUGUCUAAGUUCCUUGGAACAGGACGUCAUAGAGGGUGAGAAUCCCGUAUGUGACAGGAAAUGGCACCCUAUGUAAAUCUCCUUCGACGAGUCGAGUUGUUUGGGAAUGCAGCUCUAAAUGGGAGGUAAAUUUCUUCUAAAGCUAAAUAUUGGCGAGAGACCGAUAGCGCACAAGUAGAGUGAUCGAAAGAUGAAAAGCACUUUGGAAAGAGAGUUAAAAAGCACGUGAAAUUGUUGAAAGGGAAGCGCUUGCAAUCAGACUUGUUUAAACUGUUCGGCCGGUCUUCUGACCGGUUUACUCAGUUUGGACAGGCCAGCAUCAGUUUCGGCGGCCGGAUAAAGGCUCUGGGAAUGUGGCCUCCACUUCGGUGGAGGUGUUAUAGCCCAGGGUGUAAUACGGCCAGCCGGGACUGAGGUCCGCGCUUCGGCUAGGAUGCUGGCGUAAUGGUUGUAAGCGACCCGUCUUGAAACACGG